GGAUGCGAUCAUACUAGCACUAAAGCAUCGGAUCCCAUGAGAACUCCGAAGUUAAGCGUGCUUGGGCGAGAGUAGUACUAGGAUGGGUGACCUCCUGGGAAGUCCUCGUGUUGCAUUCC
This 119-nucleotide ribosomal RNA is filed under the name Triticum aestivum (bread wheat). Lineage: Eukaryota; Viridiplantae; Streptophyta; Magnoliopsida; Poales; Poaceae. The record is from RNAcentral.